UACGGAGGGUGCAAGCGUUAAUCGGAAUUACUGGGCGUAAAGAGUACGUAGGUGGCUUGUUAAGUCAGAUGUGAAAGCCCCGGGCCUAACCUGGGAACUGCAUUUGAAACUGGCAAGCUAGAGUUGAGUAGAGGGGAGUGGAAUUUCAGGUGUAGCGGUGAAAUGCGUAGAUAUCUGAAGGAACACCAGUGGCGAAGGCGACUCCCUGGACUCAAACUGACGCUGAGGUACGAAAGCGUGGGUAGCAAACAGG
This 253-nucleotide ribosomal RNA is filed under the name uncultured bacterium. RNAcentral describes it as "partial 16S ribosomal RNA". It matches the Rfam family "Bacterial small subunit ribosomal RNA", at positions 524 to 776 of the family's 1533-position model. The record is from RNAcentral.